UCCAAUAGAACAUACAAGUGUACUUACAAGCAAAAACAGAUACACAAGCACGAUACACAAGCACGAUACACAAGCACAUACAAGUGUACUUACAAGCAAAAACAGAUACACAAGCACCAAAACAUGGUGCAACAUCAACUAAAACUGUGGUGCGCAUCUCAAUGCCUCUUCUGGUCUUCCGUCACAGUAGAAGCAGCCUAAACAACAUUAGAUCUUGAUCCUGAUGACCAAAAAGAAACAUUAUUAAAUGUUUAGAGAUAAUGCCAUCAACAUGAGGCGGUAAUCCAACAUAACACUUUGUCAACAUAUUUUACAUAUGCAAAUAAGUAAGCUUACUGUAUAAGUUUAAGAUCCACAUGCAAUGUGAAACUGAAUUGCCAAAUAGCAGCAUGAUACAUUGGUACAAGUGCAGGUCGUCGAUGAACAUCACUGUAUCAGGUUCACCACAAGUUCUAUGAUGCAUCCAAACUUGUGAAAUUCGUGCAUAUAUUCAAGUAUGAUACUAAGUGAGCAGGUAGAAUCACCCAAGCAUGGAGGCAAGUGUCUCACCUGCGGCAACUGACCAGGAGCGAAGUUGAGCAUGGCCGGGGCAGGAGCAGCUGGAGUAGCAUGGCCGGCCUUGAGGUUCGGGGCAUCCACAGCCUGCCUGGCAUUGGGUGCCCAGAGCGAGGGGAGCAUCGGGGCGUGCCUGCAUGAUGAAGGAAAGCAGCAUCAGAAAGUUAAAGACUAAAGGACAUGUGGUAGCAAAAGGAAUAUCAAACUUCUGUCAUAACUUGACUAUGAAGUUAAGGAACCUCUUUAGUCUUUACUUUGCAGAGAAGGGAGCAUGUAGCUAAUGAUAACUAAUAUAUUAGUAGACAAGUGGUAAAUAGAAGAUCCUCUGCACAAUGAAUGGGCAGAUCCAUCCUUGAACUGACUCUAAUGGCUCAGAAAGAUUAAUCUCAAACAACAACCAAAUUCCAGAGUGCCCAGGCCCAAAUUCUACAAGACGUCUUAAGUACAAUAAUAUACAAUACAUCAUAGCAAACUGACUGGACGAGUUUAGUUUGUACAACCCACUAAACAAUUCAGCAAUAAGAGCAUACAACUACAACAAAACAGAGCAUAAUUCAGUUCUAAUAUGCACGACUGAAACUACUCCAAUUUCGGUUUUAAUAUGUAUACAACACGCAUCAUUGACCACGGAGCAUACGGCCACAGCAAAACAAGGGAGCAAUUCAGGGAAAGGAAUACUAUAGUUGCUUGAGACAUGUGCUAUUCGGUCGAAAGUAAUCAGCAACCAACGAAGUCAAUAAAAGUGUAUAAGUAGGCCACUCUUCCCAGUGAGAUUAAUACACUACAAAAUCUAUAUGAUGUGUAGUAAUUAACAAGAUGAUUUUAUAGUUGGUAUUUCCAAUAGCCGAGGUACCCGUACAUAUAUAUUUCUCUAGUUCUAAUUCCCUUACAUGAGUUCCGCAUAUACGUAUCUCAUCUUAAAACUGUACCUCAGCCACACAAAUCUGUACGUGCGACUACAUUUGAGUAUGUCUUGGAGGGACUAUAAUUAUGGCUUGAUAUUACUCAACAUACAUGUCAACAGAAAGAGGAGAACAUCAUAGCACAUUUUCAUUUUUGAAAAGCACAUUAAAUAAAAGCCUUUUGACUAUUUUAUUGUUUGGUUGUCACUAAAUUGAAAAUAUUUUUCAGUGUACAGCAGAAUGCAACCAAGGAAGCAAAACAUUUAAAAGGACCUGCUUUUCAUGUACCAUGACCACUACAGAGCAAAAGAGGGUCAAAGCGAGCUAGAACGGGUGGCCCCCUGCAAAAAAAUAAUUGCCCAAUUACGAGACAAUAAACCUAAACAGGGGCUUUCCUGCAGCACACCAUGUAACAGAAACAAUUCUGAUAUUUCAUAUCAUCCAUGUCAUAAUUAGAAAAAUGAGAAAAUAUAGUUCCACAUAAGCAAGCAAAUAUAAAACGAAAACUAGUUGACUAUGUGUACAAAAUAUAGUUCCACACUAUCAGAAUUACAAGGACUCAAAGUGCCAAGUCAAUGUAAGUGUCUUGUUUGUUUGGAUCUAGCUCACCAUGGUCAGUAAUUAAUCGGACAGAUAUUGAUUCAAAACACACAAAACUGGGCACAUAUAUCAACAUAAGAAUAACAGUGUCAGAGACAAGCAUUCUUCUACAACAUAACUAAUCAGAUACACCACAUAUAUGUUUUGCAACAAACUAAAAACAAAACAAGGCAUGCACUAAUCAGAUAGAUAUUGAUUCAAAAAUUCCAGACUCCAGAACAUAACUAACAAGUUCAAAUAAAAAGGGUUUAGGGGUUUAGGGUACGUUGCAAGAAAGAGCAUGCUUCCACCUUGUUUCAACAGACCUUUUAAAUUGUUUUCUUAUCCACGGCAUCAUAAGUCUUAACCAAACCAGAGCAAGUAAAGGAUCUUGUGUUCAGAGCAUACACUACACUGGCAGCAGCACAAGCUUAUGUUCAAAGCAUACACUACAGUCGAUCUUACUUAACAGGUGGUUGUUCUAAUCACCUACAGCCUGCCUCAAGCCCUCAACUCGAUACAGUCAAUCUACACAGACAAUCGACAGCUAAAGAACAAUGCAGCAUUCUGGUGAAGCAGCAAGCAUGCCUAGAUGGCGACUCCCGUGAACAGAGAACCCUACCACUUGGGGACUUAAACGAGGAGUAGCCGAGGUUCCUGCUUGUGUUGCCAUUGCUGAAAGAAAAGUAUAUAUUAAUGCUUAAACAAGAUAAACAGUACAUGGAUACAAAAAGGGUAGCAGGAUUAAAAGAAUGAUUUAGAGAAUGGACGACUGGUCCACAUAAAAGUCAGAACAUCAAUCAAACAAUCGACAAUUUUCUUUGACAACACGAACUGCAAAUCCAAAUGCUGAUUCUAGAAAGUAUGCACCCCCAAGCAUCUGUCCAAAAUAAGAACAAAAACAAAAAGGAGGGCUAGCAGACACAAUCUACUCUAAACACUACAGCAAAAGGUCUGUCGGCAUUAACGACGAGAAUAGCAUGUAAACCAGAACUUGAUGUCAUUUUAUAGCUAGUUGUUUUAGCCUGUCGACUGGCUAGUUAGAUACAUUUGGCUUUCAUCGCACUAUAAGCCUCCAAGGUCCAACAGUUAGUAGAUAAGCCUCUAUAGAUGGAUACCUUUGGCUGUCAUUUAAUACAUUGAGGACCACAGACAGAUAAACCAACUAAAUUCAGAAACAAAUUUGAGUUAUCAACCCUUCAGACUAGCAUACUAAUGUCAGUUUAUCCUUACGUUGCUUAAUGUCCUAAGAAACAGCAUGCAGGCUAUCCACAUCUACUGUCCAGCACACAAUAGAAACAACUAAUGGUGCAGCAACUCCUCCAAGAAGAAACUAGAAUUAUUAGCUGCAAAAUUAUUUCAUUCCUCAUGGCCAUACAAGCAGUAAUCUACAUGCUGCAGAGUGUGGCUCAGUCACGGGAUCUAGGCAGAGGAGGGAGGCAGAGGUAAAGUGCUCACCGAAGAGGUUACUGGCGAUGCAGCGGUCGCAUUGCAGGUCGGCCACCACCGUCGCGCAGUAGAGGUGGUCGCGGCAGGAUGCACGGCCUCUUGGGAGACCCGGCGGAGGAGGUCAGUGUCGCCGCCGUCCAGCCAACGCGUGUGAGCACGCCAAUCUACGCCAGCACAAAUGGCCUUGGAGUGGAGACGAGGUCUCUUGUGCACCUGUGUAUGGAGAACCGGCCGCAUCAGGGCAGGGGAGAGAGCAAACCAAAUCGGGACUGAGGAGCGGAGAGGAGACCUUGAGGACACGAACCCGCAACCGGAGCACGCAUGAAUCCAUGCCUCCCGGUGGUGGCGGUGGUGGCACCGGGUCGUGCAGGCCUGAUCUGAGGCCAAGGAGGCGCUAAUCGGAUCUGGUCGGAGUGAUGCGAGCCCCUUGCUGCGCGGUGCCAUGUGUGGCGGCGGCGUGUAGUACGGGAGAGAGAGGCCGGGGUGGGGGCUACAGGGGAGGGAGGGGGUCAAGGCCGGCGGCGAGCGGGCGGUAGAUGGCGGCGAGGGGAGGGGAGGGAUCUGGAUCGGGGAGCGCUAGGGUUCGCUGCGUGGGGGAGAGAGAGGAUGGCCACGACAUGAGUAGCCCAUGUGGAUCUAGGAGGAGAGGGGAGGGGCUGCCGACGAUGAGGUUGGAGGUCGCCGAUGCGACUGGAGAAGAGGACAGCGGCGGAUUGGGUUGGGCUAGGGUUGGGCGGCGGCGGAGGGAGAGGGCUAGGGUUGGCAGCCGUGGGUGCGUGGGAGAGAAAGGGCCGUGGGUACGUGGGUGAUUGGGCUACGUGGGGUGAGAGGGUGAGGCCGUGAGGGGGUGAG
Molecule: long non-coding RNA, 4337 nt
Filed under: Triticum aestivum (bread wheat)
Lineage: Eukaryota; Viridiplantae; Streptophyta; Magnoliopsida; Poales; Poaceae
Description: long non-coding RNA (TAES_LNC001632)
Source: RNAcentral